GAUGAACGCUGGCGGCGUGCCUAAUACAUGCAAGUCGAGCGAACAGACGAGGAGCUUGCUCCUCUGACGUUAGCGGCUGACGGGUGAGUAACACGUGGAUAACCUACCUAUAAGACUGGGAUAACUUCGUGAAACCGGAGCUAAUACCGGAUAAUAUAUUGAACCGCAUGGUUCAAUAGUGAAAGACGGUUUUGCUGUCACUUAUAGAUGGAUCCGCGCCGCAUUAGCUAGUUGGUAAGGUAACGGCUUACCAAGGCAACGAUGCGUAGCCGACCUGAGAGGAUGAUCGGCCACACUGGAACUGAGACACGGUCCAGACUCCUACGGGAGGCAGCAGUAGGGAAUCUUCCGCAAUGGGCGAAAGCUUGACGGAGCAACGCCGCGUGAGUGAUGAAGGUCUUCGGAUCGUAAAACUCUGUUAUUAGGGAAGAACAAAUGUGUAAGUAACUAUGCACGUCUUGACGGUACCUAAUCAGAAAGCCACGGCUAACUACGUG
RNAcentral lists this ribosomal RNA (497 nucleotides) under uncultured bacterium. Its description in RNAcentral is "partial 16S ribosomal RNA". It matches the Rfam family "Bacterial small subunit ribosomal RNA", at positions 28 to 507 of the family's 1533-position model. The record is from RNAcentral.